Molecule: ribosomal RNA, 381 nt
Filed under: uncultured eukaryote
Lineage: Eukaryota
Description: partial 18S ribosomal RNA
Rfam family: Eukaryotic small subunit ribosomal RNA
Source: RNAcentral
CAAUAGCGUAUAUUAAAGCUGUUGCGGUUAAAAAGCUCGUAGUUGGAUUUCUGUCAAGUACAACUGGUCCGCCCUCCGGGUGAGCACAUAGUUUGGUCCUGGCAUCUUGCUGGAAACUGUUGCUGCGCUUGGUUGUGUGGCGCAGCAUCCAGCACUUUCACUUUGAGGAAAUUGGAGUGUUUCAAGCAGGCACAUGCCUUUGGACACAGUAGCAUGGAAUAAUUAGAUUGGGCUUUUGCUCCAAUUUGUCGGUUUCUGGAGCUGAGGUGAGAAUUAAUGGGGAUUGUUGGGGGCAUCCGAAUUUAGCCGUCAGAGGUGAAAUUCUUGGAUCUGCUAAAGACGGACAACUGCGAAAGCGUUUGCCCAGGAUGUUUUCAUUGA